Molecule: ribosomal RNA, 253 nt
Filed under: uncultured bacterium
Lineage: Bacteria
Description: partial 16S ribosomal RNA
Rfam family: Bacterial small subunit ribosomal RNA
Source: RNAcentral
UACAGAGGGUGCGAGCGUUGUUCGGAAUCACUGGGCGUAAAGGGCGCGUAGGCGGCGCGGGCAGUCAACGGUGAAAGCUUGGGGCUCAACCCCGAGUCGGCCGUCGAUACUCCCGGGCUGGAGCACUGUAGAGGCAGGUGGAAUUCCGGGUGUAGCGGUGGAAUGCGUAGAGAUCCGGAAGAACACCGGUGGCGAAGGCGGCCUGCUGGGCAGUAGCUGACGCUGAGGCGCGACAGCGUGGGGAGCAAACAGG